This 450-nucleotide long non-coding RNA is filed under the name Coturnix japonica (Japanese quail). RNAcentral describes it as "lncRNA (ENSCJPG00005008789.1)". Lineage: Eukaryota; Metazoa; Chordata; Aves; Galliformes; Phasianidae. The record is from RNAcentral.
CUUAACCCCUGUUGGUUUUUUUUUUGUUUGUUUUGUUUCUAUUCAUUGUUGGCAUGGAGACAAAGAGGUACUCCACUAGACUGAUCAAUGCAUGAUAUUAUCAACAUAACAUUUUAGUCAAGUUCCCAGGAGCCUUCCUCCUGAAUCUGUCAUUUUGAUUCAGAUAACUAAAUCAGGCUAAGCACUGCAAUGAUAACGGAUGACUUGCCUCAUUAGGCAUCUCCUGCUGCUUUACUCUGUCAGGAACCACUACUGUGACUGUCUGCAUUCCUGGGAAAGGGCUGGCUUGUCUUAUUUUAUAUUGGUAUACUUCAGGAAGCACAAGAGAAAGUAAAAAAUGAAUCCAAGUAUAUACAAGGGCUGCUCUGAAGGUACAGUGCAGUCCAGUCUAUCAUACUUCAGGCUCUUACCUGCAGAUGAGUGCAAUAAGUAGUGACUUUUCUAUCACCA